Molecule: long non-coding RNA, 308 nt
Filed under: Panax ginseng (ginseng)
Lineage: Eukaryota; Viridiplantae; Streptophyta; Magnoliopsida; Apiales; Araliaceae
Description: long non-coding RNA (PGIN_LNC002283)
Source: RNAcentral
UCGGCAUCCGUAUAUCGAAAUCUUGUCCCGAAAGCUGCAACGCUUGCCUAAUGCCUAUGCAGUGCUAUUUGUGUGUUUGCGUGUUGUUCUGAUGACCGAGAUGGGUUUUGGUCUCUUUUUUGACUUUUUCCCUAACUGUCGGUUCAUCGGGCAAACGGGCUGAUAACUCGGCAUCCGUAUAUCGGAAUCGAGUCCCAUAAGUUGCAACGCGUGCCUAAUGUCUAUGCGGUGUUAUGUGUAUGUUUGCAUUUAGUUCGGACGACCGAGGCGGGUUUUGGUCUCUUUUUUGCCUUUUUGCCUAACUGUUG